Molecule: ribosomal RNA, 468 nt
Filed under: uncultured bacterium
Lineage: Bacteria
Description: partial 16S ribosomal RNA
Rfam family: Bacterial small subunit ribosomal RNA
Source: RNAcentral
GACGAACGCUGGCGGCGUGCUUAACACAUGCAAGUCGAACGGAAAGGCCCUGCUUUUGUGGGGUGCUCGAGUGGCGAACGGGUGAGUAACACGUGAGUAACCUGCCCUUGACUUUGGGAUAACUUCAGGAAACUGGGGCUAAUACCGGAUAGGAGCUCCUGCUGCAUGGUGGGGGUUGGAAAGUUUCGGCGGUUGGGGAUGGACUCGCGGCUUAUCAGCUUGUUGGUGGGGUAGUGGCUUACCAAGGCUUUGACGGGUAGCCGGCCUGAGAGGGUGACCGGCCACAUUGGGACUGAGAUACGGCCCAGACCCAUACGGGAGGAAGCAGGGGGGAAUAUUGAAAAAGGGGCGGAAGCCUGAUGCAGCAACGCCGCGUGGGGGAUGACGGCCUUCGGGUUGUAAACCGCUUUCGCCUGGGACGAAGCGUGAGGGAGGGUAAGGGGUAAAGAAGCACCGGCAAACUACGUG